UCUCGCUCUAGUGCGCUGUAAAAAGACAUCACAAUUUCCCCUAAAUAGAAGACGGAAAACUCAACAAGGCAAAUUAGAACAACUGGUAGCAACCUUUCAAUUCAGAUUCGGAAUCGGAGUCCGAGAAAAUCAGUCCGAGAAAAGUUCAUGACUUUGCACUUUGCAGGUACAAUAAAGAAAUUAAGUGUGCCACUAUUACUCAAGGUGCUUAUUUUGGCGUCCAAUGGGAUGCGUCAUUCUUUUCAUCUUUGCUCAUAUUAUUGGUGGUAAUAAGCUAUUUAUGCUAUAAAUCUAUAAGUAAAGGUGGUAUCACGUGAUGUAACUGCUGCCUUUGCAACUGAUGCCCACAUGCAACGGUUUAACUUGCAUUAUAUGUUGGAAGAGUUCAAAUGCAACAAUCAUAAACGUUCUAAAUGGUGACUUUAAAGUAUUUGCUUUAUUUUUCUUAGUUGAUGGCAUCUCUAAACUAUGGCUUACCUAAAAAUAGUAUAUGAAACCUAUGGCACCAUCUUUGGAGAAUCAAUUCUCCGACCAAACAUAAAUCAGACAUGUCCCAGGUAUUGUUAAUUCUUAUACUUGCUGUUGUCAUCCUUUAUCUGUUAGUAGUUCAUUUGAACACAAGAUAUGAUAAGUUGCAUGAUUGUUUUUUCCAUGUUUUCUAGCAGGUUGGUCUGAACAAUAUGUAUAUAUGGACGUAUUUAUGGAGAUAAAUAUCGGCAAUUGAAACAGUUAUUCAAGGAGUUGAAAGACUCAAAAUUAGCUUUGACAAAGUUAAUCCUUUAUUUGUUUUGUACCUUUUUGAUUGUAAUGUUACAUGUUUAUUUAUGCUCUACUCCAAUUUUGUUAUGAUUAGGAAUAUUGUCCUAAUCCAUUUAGAAAAUAUUUUUUCCUUAAAUGUAAUCCUUUUCGCAA
Molecule: non-coding RNA, 912 nt
Organism: Nicotiana tabacum (common tobacco)
Lineage: Eukaryota; Viridiplantae; Streptophyta; Magnoliopsida; Solanales; Solanaceae
Source: RefSeq, a predicted model, not a curated record